GGGUUGUGAGGUUAAGCGAACAAGCGUACACGGUGGAUGCCCUGGCAGUCAGAGGCGAUGAAGGACGUGCUAAUCUGCGAAAAGCGCCGGUAAGGUGAUAUGAACCGUUAUAACCGGCGAUGUCCGAAUGGGGAAACCCGGUGCACUUCGGUGCAUCAUCGUUAGCUGAAUACAUAGGCUAACGAAGCGAACCGGGGGAACUGAAACAUCUAAGUACCCCGAGGAAAAGAAAUCAACCGAGAUUCCCCCAGUAGCGGCGAGCGAACGGGGAACAGCCCAGAGCCUGAAUCAGCUUGUGUGUCAGUGGAACGGUCUGGAAAGGCCGGCGAUACAGGGUGACAGCCCCGUACACGAAGGCACACAGGCUGUGAGCUCGAUGAGUAGGGCGGGACACGUGAUAUCCUGUCUGAAGAUGGGGGGACCAUCCUCCAAGGCUAAAUACUCCUGACUGACCGAUAGUGAACCAGUACCGUGAGGGAAAGGCGAAAAGAACCCCGGCGAGGGGAGUGAAACAGAACCUGAAACCGUGUACGUACAAGCAGUGGGAGCCUUCGUAAGAGGGUGACUGCGUACCUUUUGUAUAAUGGGUCAGCGACUUAUAUUCUGUAGCAAGGUUAACCGUAUAGGGGAGCCGAAGGGAAACCGAGUCUUAAUUGGGCGUUAAGUUGCAGGGUAUAGACCCGAAACCCGGUGAUCUAGCCAUGGGCAGGUUGAAGGUUGGGUAACACUAACUGGAGGACCGAACCGACUAAUGUUGAAAAAUUAGCGGAUGACCUGUGGCUGGGGGUGAAAGGCCAAUCAAACCGGGAGAUAGCUGGUUCUCCCCGAAAGCUAUUUAGGUAGCGCCUCGUGAACUCAUCUCCGGGGGUAGAGCACUGUUUCGGCUAGGGGGCCAUCCCGGCUUACCAACCCGAUGCAAACUGCGAAUACCGGAGAAUGUUAUCACGGGAGACACACGGCGGGUGCUAACGUCCGUCGUGAAGAGGGAAACAACCCAGACCGCCAGCUAAGGUCCCAAAGUCAUGGUUAAGUGGGAAACGAUGUGGGAAGGCCCAGACAGCCAGGAUGUUGGCUUAGAAGCAGCCAUCAUUUAAAGAAAGCGUAAUAGCUCACUGGUCGAGUCGGCCUGCGCGGAAGAUGUAACGGGGCUAAACCAUGCACCGAAGCUGCGGCAGCGACACUGUGUGUUGUUGGGUAGGGGAGCGUUCUGUAAGCCUGCGAAGGUGUGCUGUGAGGCAUGCUGGAGGUAUCAGAAGUGCGAAUGCUGACAUAAGUAACGAUAAAGCGGGUGAAAAGCCCGCUCGCCGGAAGACCAAGGGUUCCUGUCCAACGUUAAUCGGGGCAGGGUGAGUCGACCCCUAAGGCGAGGCCGAAAGGCGUAGUCGAUGGGAAACAGGUUAAUAUUCCUGUACUUGGUGUUACUGCGAAGGGGGGACGGAGAAGGCUAUGUCGGCCGGGCGACGGUUGUCCCGGUUUAAGCGUGUAGGCUGACUUUCCAGGCAAAUCCGGAAGGUUAAGGCUGAGGCGUGAUGACGAGGCACCACGGUGCUGAAGUGACAAAUGCCCUGCUUCCAGGAAAAGCCUCUAAGCAUCAGGUAACAUCAAAUCGUACCCCAAACCGACACAGGUGGUCAGGUAGAGAAUACCAAGGCGCUUGAGAGAACUCGGGUGAAGGAACUAGGCAAAAUGGUGCCGUAACUUCGGGAGAAGGCACGCUGACAUGUAGGUGAAGCCCCUGCGGGUGGAGCUGAAGUCAGUCGAAGAUACCAGCUGGCUGCAACUGUUUAUUAAAAACACAGCACUGUGCAAACACGAAAGUGGACGUAUACGGUGUGACGCCUGCCCGGUGCCGGAAGGUUAAUUGAUGGGGUUAUCGCAAGAGAAGCUCCUGAUCGAAGCCCCGGUAAACGGCGGCCGUAACUAUAACGGUCCUAAGGUAGCGAAAUUCCUUGUCGGGUAAGUUCCGACCUGCACGAAUGGCGUAAUGAUGGCCAGGCUGUCUCCACCCGAGACUCAGUGAAAUUGAACUCGCUGUGAAGAUGCAGUGUACCCGCGGCAAGACGGAAAGACCCCGUGAACCUUUACUACAGCUUGACACUGAACAUUGAGCCUUGAUGUGUAGGAUAGGUGGGAGGCUUUGAAGCGUGGACGCCAGUCUGCGUGGAGCCGACCUUGAAAUACCACCCUUUAAUGUUUGAUGUUCUAACCUGGCGCCGUGAUCCGGCGUGGGGACAGUGUCUGGUGGGUAGUUUGACUGGGGCGGUCUCCUCCCAAAGUGUAACGGAGGAGCACGAAGGUCAGCUAAUCCUGGUCGGACAUCAGGAGGUUAGUGCAAUGGCAUAAGCUGGCUUGACUGCGAGAGUGACGGCUCGAGCAGGUGCGAAAGCAGGUCAUAGUGAUCCGGUGGUUCUGUAUGGAAGGGCCAUCGCUCAACGGAUAAAAGGUACUCCGGGGAUAACAGGCUGAUACCGCCCAAGAGUUCAUAUCGACGGCGGUGUUUGGCACCUCGAUGUCGGCUCAUCACAUCCUGGGGCUGAAGUAGGUCCCAAGGGUAUGGCUGUUCGCCAUUUAAAGUGGUACGCGAGCUGGGUUUAGAACGUCGUGAGACAGUUCGGUCCCUAUCUGCCGUGGGCGCUGGAGAAUUGAGGGGGGCUGCUCCCAGUACGAGAGGACCGGAGUGGACGCAUCACUGGUGUUCGGGUUGUCAUGCCAAUGGCACUGCCCGGUAGCUAAAUGCGGAAGAGAUAAGUGCUGAAAGCAUCUAAGCACGAAACUUGCCCCGAGAUGAGUUCUCCCUGAGACUGUAAGUCUCCUGAAGGAACGUUGAAGACGACGACGUUGAUAGGCCGGGUGUGUAAGCGCAGCGAUGCGUUGAGCUAACCGGUACUAAUGAACCGUGAGGCUUAACCUUACAACGCCAAAGAAGU
RNAcentral lists this ribosomal RNA (2927 nucleotides) under Cronobacter sakazakii. RNAcentral describes it as "23S ribosomal RNA". It matches the Rfam family "Bacterial large subunit ribosomal RNA". Lineage: Bacteria; Pseudomonadati; Pseudomonadota; Gammaproteobacteria; Enterobacterales; Enterobacteriaceae. The record is from RNAcentral.